GACGAACGCUGGCGGCGUGCUUAACACAUGCAAGUCGAACGGAAAGACCCUGCUUUUGUGGGGUGCUCGAGUGGCGAACGGGUGAGUAACACGUGAGUAACCUGCCCUUGACUUUGGGAUAACUUCAGGAAACUGGGGCUAAUACCGGAUAGGAGCUCCUGCUGCAUGGUGGGGGUUGGAAAGUUUCGGCGGUUGGGGAUGGACUCGCGGCUUAUCAGCUUGUUGGUGGGGUAGUGGCUUACCAAGGCUUUGACGGGUAGCCGGCCUGAGAGCGUGACCGGCCACAUUGGGACUGAGAUACGGCCCAGACUCCUACGGGAGGCAGCAGUGGGGAAUAUUGCACAAUGGGCGGAAGCCUGAUGCAGCAACGCCGCGUGCGGGAUGACGGCCUUCGGGUUGUAAACCGCUUUCGCCUGUGACGAAGCGUGAGUGACGGUAAUGGGUAAAGAAGCACCGGCUAACUACGUG
RNAcentral lists this ribosomal RNA (468 nucleotides) under uncultured bacterium. Its description in RNAcentral is "partial 16S ribosomal RNA". It matches the Rfam family "Bacterial small subunit ribosomal RNA", at positions 28 to 507 of the family's 1533-position model. The record is from RNAcentral.